RNAcentral lists this long non-coding RNA (1084 nucleotides) under Sphaeramia orbicularis (orbiculate cardinalfish). RNAcentral describes it as "lncRNA (ENSSORG00005024138.1)". The record is from RNAcentral. Lineage: Eukaryota; Metazoa; Chordata; Actinopteri; Kurtiformes; Apogonidae.
GGAUGAUACUGGUCUCCAUUGUAAAAGAGAUUUCUAAUCUCGAUGGGACUUCCUGAAUAAAUAACAGUAAAUACAUAUUUAAUUUUUAAUACUUGUUAACAUGUGACACCAAUUUAAGAUCUGAACCCUAGUCUUAGUAAUUUACUGAAUUUCAGUGUGAUCGCAACAACAGUAAAGACAAUAAGGUUCCAUUCACACUUCUGCUGAAUUCACAUUUUUUGCUGAAGUCCAGUGUUUUGCAUCACAUUAUUAUUUAGACGCUCUGUCAUGUCUGCUCCCAGACUGUCUGGAAUUCGUCUUUUAUGUUUUCUGUCAUUUCCUGUUUUAUUUUGUUAAGUUUCCCUCAUGUGUCAUGUCUGGGGUCUUUACUUCCCUUCCCUGAUUGUUUCACCUGCUCUGAUUACCUGACUCCACCCUGAUGUGUUCCACCUGUGUCCACCUGUCCUCCCUCCCUCUUGUGUGUUUAAACCCUGUGUUUUCCCCUGUUUGUUUGUGUUCUACACUCGUGUGUUCACUUACCAGCGUUUUGGCUCCUGUCAGUCUGUCUGCCCGUUGUGACCCGUUUCGUCUUUCGACCACCGAUUCUGCCCGUUCCUGUUUUGCCUGCUCAUCCUUGACCUGGUUCGUGUACCCGACUCUGAUUCCGCCUUCUCCCUUUGGUACCUCAGCCUCCACCGAUUACCUGUGUUUCGACCCUGCGCCUGGAUUACUGACCUCGGGGUUCCGUUGGGUUUUUCCCGGCCCGGCCACGCUGGUCGCCAGCUGAUCCCUCCCACGGCCCAGACGUCAAGCCCCGGACACGGCGGCUCCGCAGAUUCACUAAUUAAUCUGUGUUGUCAUUUCCCUUAAGAGUUCAAUAAACACACUCUACUUCACGUCUGUCUAUUGGUCUUGCAUUUGGGUUCAGCCUCUGUACUACAUACAUCACACGCUCAUGUGUGAACGAUCUACGGUCCUGAGGUGACUCCCAUGUACAGAAGACAUGACGUCAUAUGCAGCACACUGUGUUUGCAAACAUCCGUUGCUUUUCAAUGUUGAAAAAGUUGGAUGAAAUGUGACAUGAUUGUUCACACUUAAGUUGUAU